This 1716-nucleotide long non-coding RNA is filed under the name Octopus sinensis (East Asian common octopus). RNAcentral describes it as "uncharacterized LOC118765628". Lineage: Eukaryota; Metazoa; Mollusca; Cephalopoda; Octopoda; Octopodidae. The record is from RNAcentral.
GUUGCACAUGCUUGCACGUGCAGCAAUGCAGUGAUAGAUUUUGUGACAUUACUUCACGGAAUUUCUCCACAGCUCCGGCGAACACACAGACGAAACCCGAAAGAUGUAUUUCACAAUGAAGUGACAUUGAGGAAGUGCAAUGUUAAAUCCUUAUUACUAAUAUUGAUUACGUAUGUAAUGUGGUAGAUUAUCUGAUGAUGAAGGCAGAAUACUCCUCAUUAUCUCAUAGCUAACUAUUAACAUCCGUUACCAAAGCAAUGUAAUUCAUGCGUUAAACAAGAACUUACAAAAAUAUAUGAAAACAAAAAAAGAAAAAAAAAAGGAGAGAUUAUGUUGCUGCAGGCCAUUUAGUCUAUUGGAUGUUCAGGACUUAGAUUACGAUAAACAAUAGAAAACAGCAACAAACCAAACCACAAAAACAACUACAAACAAACAUAUUAAGACUGAAGUUGAAAAACGAUAAUCAACAUCAUCAUCAUCACCAUCAUCAUCAUCAUUUUAAUGUCUUUUUUUGCCUGACUUGCAAUGGGUCAAACAAGGUUUACUGAUGGCAUUCCAGGAAUGAUGCUGAAGAUCAAGAUAGGAAGGACCCUGUACAAAGAUGGAGGAGACAGCUGUAAAGAGCACAUUGGACACACCCUAAUAAACACUGCUGGUCACAGUUGGCUAAUUUUCAGAAUGAAGCCAGAACGUGAAGACAGUUUGGAAGCUCAAUUUGGAAUACAGUUUUGUGUUAAACUGAGAAAAAAUGCUACAGAAACAUGGAAUACUUCAGCCUGCUUAUGGAUUAACUGGUUUUCACUGAAUCAAGAGGCCAGGCAAAGCAAGUUCACCAGGAAACUCAUGAUGACCCCCUUUUUUGACAGCAUGGGCAUCAUCUUCAUCCACUCAGUUCUCUCUCAAACUUAACAAUCAACAAAGAGUAUUUUGUGGAAGUUUUGAGGGAAUUCUGGAAGAGAUUUCAUCACAAAAGGCUAGAGUACCUGCACCAGCCCACAAUUUUACCCUGGUAACCAACUUCAUGACAGAAAUGGGCAUCAGAACUGUCCCAUAUCCUCUCUACAGACCAGACAUUGCUUCUUGUAACUUUUGGCUGUUCCCAAAUAUGAAGGAAGCUGUGAUAAGGGUCCCAAACAUCUUCACUUUGGAAGACUCCCAUAGGACCUUCACAAAGUGGCUGGAAGUGCACUGAAGUCAGAGGAUCCUAUUUUGAAGGAGAUCAGAGUACAAGGUACUUCUUUGAAAUUAAUAAACGUCUCUCCUGAAAUGUAUCAAAACUUCCAGAAUGUACCUUGAAUCACCAAACUACAGCCCAUGGGCCGGAUCCGGCCCAUGACAUCAGUUAAUCUGGCCCACUGCCGCUCUGUACAUUUUGUGUAAGUACUUGCAUUUGCCUCUGCUAUGGCAUCAGUGUUUGGAACAACUUAUGUCUGUGAGCAAACAUUUUCAAAAACGAAGAAUGUGAAGCCAGAACAUCAAACGAGGUUGACUGAGGAACAUUUGAAAGCAAUUCUCUUGGUUGGAUGCAGCAAUUCCAAAGCAAAUAUUGAUGAUAUCUUAAAAGCUAAAUACCACUUUCAUAAAUCUCACCAACCUUUUUUGCUGCUUAGUUUGUGAGAUUUGGAUAUGUGUGCACCGGGUGUGAUAAAACUAUUUUAUUGCUAAUGUCACCUUCUUUGAUAACUUUUUGGUAAAUAAAUAUGUUGGUUGUCUUUA